ACACUGUACGAGUUUGAUCCUGGCUCAGAUUGAACGCUGGCGGCAGGCUUAACACAUGCAAGUCGAACGGAACCUUCGGGUUUAGUGGCGAACGGGUGAGUAACACCUAGGAAUCUGCCUAUUAGUGGGGGAUAACGGCUCGAAAGGGUCGCUAAUACCGCAUACGUCCUACGGGAGAAAGAGGGGGAUCUUCGGACCUCUUGCUAAUAGAUGAGCCUAGGCCGGAUUAGCUAGUUGGUAGGGUAAAGGCCUACCAAGGCGACGAUCCGUAGCUGGUCUGAGAGGAUGAUCAGCCACACUGGAACUGAGACACGGUCCAGACUCCUACGGGAGGCAGCAGGUGGGGAAUAUUGGACAAUGGGGGCAACCCUGAUCCAGCCAUGCCGCGUGUGUGAAGAAGGCCUUCGGGUUGUAAAGCACUUUAAGCGAGGAGGAAGGUCUUUGAACUAAUAUUUCAAAGAAUUGACGUUACUCGCAGAAUAAGCACCGGCUAACUCUGUG
This 501-nucleotide ribosomal RNA is filed under the name uncultured bacterium. Its description in RNAcentral is "bacterial SSU rRNA". It matches the Rfam family "Bacterial small subunit ribosomal RNA", at positions 1 to 507 of the family's 1533-position model. The record is from RNAcentral.